GACGAACGCUGGCGGCGUGCUUAACACAUGCAAGUCGAACGGAAAGGCCCUGCUUUUGUUGGGUGCUCGAGUGGCGAACGGGUGAGUAACACGUGAGUAACCUGCCCUUGACUUUGGGAUAACUUCAGGAAACUGGGGCUAAUACCGGAUAGGAUCUCCUGCUGCAUGUUGGGGGUUGGAAAGUUUCGGCGGUUGGGGAUGGACUCGCGGCUUAUCAGCUUGUUGGUGGGGUAGUGGCUUACCAAGGCUUUGACGGGUAGCCGGCCUGAGAGGGGUACCGGCCACAUGGGGACUGAGAGACGGACCAGAAGGCUACGGGAGGCAGUAGGGGGGAACAUGGCACAAUGGGCGGAAGCCUGGGGCAGAAACGCCGCGUGCGGGAUGAUGGCCUUCGGGGGGUAAACCGCUUUCGCAGGUGACGAAGAGUGAGUGACGGUAAUGGGUAAAGAAGCAACGGCUAACUACGUG
This 468-nucleotide ribosomal RNA is filed under the name uncultured bacterium. Its description in RNAcentral is "partial 16S ribosomal RNA". It matches the Rfam family "Bacterial small subunit ribosomal RNA", at positions 28 to 507 of the family's 1533-position model. The record is from RNAcentral.